AGUUAUUAAUAGACUAUCAUAGCAGCACUUAAGAUGCAUGUUGACAAAUACCACAAGAAGUUUAUGGCAUCUGCAAAUACAAGGUCAUGCUUUAAUAUGCAAGGUACUAUCCACUUUGAAUUCCUUGACAUCAAACUGGUGGCAAUGUAACCUGUGCGGUGUAGUGAACGUAGACCUGGCCACACGGUGGUGGUUCUAAUUCAUGGCCAGGUUCCAUACAGUACCGGUUAAGAAGAUUAAAAAAUAAACAGAGACACAAACAUUUAAAUUUUGCCGGCUUCAAUGAGGAACCAGGACUGAACUUCAGUCUGGUCAUGAACCGUGGGACCCAUGGUCCAGUUCCAGUCCUUCCCUUGCCAGGUCUAAGUGAAGGUGACUUAUGAACGUUUGCAUGCAUCUAGUUCUCAGUCGUUAUUGUUCUUCUCUUGAAAUUGCUCUACUCUAACUUAUCCUAUGCACCUCUUUGAUUUUCUUCAUAAAUUUUAUGUAUUAUUUGACAUUUUAUGAACUUUAGAAGCAAUGUCCGGUUAUAGUAUGGUGUAAGAACUCGGUGGUGUCUCCAGUUAAAAAUACAUUCAAUAAUUUAAUGUAUUCUUUUGUCUUUCGAUCCUAAAAUCCACAAAAUCUUCAUGUUAACUGGAUAUUUUAUGUGUUUUUAUUUUUCUGUUUUUUUAUUAACAUUGAAAACCAAUGCCAUUAUUCAUUAAACUUACUAAUAGUCUAAUAUACUUUUAUGCGAAAUGCAUGUGUGGCUUAAUAUUUUGCAUUGGUCAGUUUGUGUACGAUCAGGUGCCACAAUGGACAUUUCAUUUCUUAAGCAUCACUGUUAGUUAUUCUUGUUUCUUAUCUCCUAAUAUGCAAGUUCCAUUGAAUUUUCUUUUUCUACAGUUAUUGUCCGGUUUUUUGUUUUUUCACAGUGAUUGUAAUUAAAGUUCUAUUACAAUUUAAUUGUCAAUAAUUUCCGUUUAGUCUAAUGCUCAAAUAAGUGUUUUGCGAAUGAGGAUAAUCAAGACACACUGAUGAAGAAGCUGUAAGAGAACAAAAUGAGAUAAAUGGACUAUGCAGAUGGUGGAUUAACAGGCAACAACAGCAGAUUCAGUCUUCCCCUGUUCGAUAUUACAAUACCACAUAGCACGAGCUCCGUAUGGUCGCUGUCUGAUAUAAUAAUAAUGAUGUGAGAUGCAGUGGUCCUUCAACUUAAGAUGAUUUUGAGUACAUAUGAAAAAUCUUCUCUAGUGUGCUCUUAUUUCUUUUUUAGUUCAUCUUAUUUAAUGUUUAUACUUUAUGCACAUAAUAUCUUCGGUUGUUUAGCUAUGUAAUUAUUUUUUUGCUAGCAGUUGUUGGUUUUUGACUUA
Non-coding RNA from Jatropha curcas, 1355 nucleotides. The record is from RefSeq and is a predicted model, not a curated record. Lineage: Eukaryota; Viridiplantae; Streptophyta; Magnoliopsida; Malpighiales; Euphorbiaceae.